RNAcentral lists this ribosomal RNA (2601 nucleotides) under Triticum aestivum (bread wheat). RNAcentral's name for it is "partial small subunit ribosomal RNA". The record is from RNAcentral. Lineage: Eukaryota; Viridiplantae; Streptophyta; Magnoliopsida; Poales; Poaceae.
AUGUCGUCCAGGAAGACCGCGGGCCCGUCCCGCGCCGGCGGCGGCGCGAAGAAGGUGGCUAGCGGCGCGGGGGGCGUGAGCCUCCGGGCGCUGCGGGAGGGGCUUGCCCGUCAGAAGGAGGAGGAGGAGCGCAGGGCGCGCGAGGAGGAGUUGCAGGCGCAGGCGGAGGAGGCGAGGAGACGGCGGGAUGAGGAGGAGGAGGAGGAGAGGGAGAAGGUGAGGGAGCAGGAGCUGAAGCGGAGCGAGGAGGACCGGCAGCGGAGGAGGCUGGAGGAGAGGAAGAAGGAGGAGGGCCGGCGCGCGGAGGAGGCGCGCAGGCGGCUCGGCAUCACCGCCGUCGUUGAGGGCGGCGGCGGUGCUGGUGUGGACGACGAUGGCCGGAAGAAGCGGCCGGUGUAUCGCUCCAGGAGACCUGCGUGGAAGCCCAAGACUGUCGAAUCUGAAGCUGAUGGGGGAGGAGGCCAGGGCUCGAGCAGUGUUUCGCAAGAAGAGGAAAACAGUGCCGCCCUCAAUGAGGCGCUCAAAUUGGGGGAGGGAUCGAGCGAUGGAUCACUGGAAGAGGACAGAGCAUCAAUUGGCGAUGAUGAUGAUGAUGAUGAUGAGGAUGCUUGGGAUAGCAAGAGCCUGGAUGAAUUUGAUGUCAUGUCUGCUGCUGGCAAUUCCCACUCUUCUUCUUCUGAAGAAGAAACCAAAGAGAAACAUGUGGUCUCCGCUGCUCCGGUCGAUAAUUCAGACAAUGCAGCCAAUGAUGCAGGCAAUGAGAUUGUGGAGGAUAUCUUCGACCCUCAGGAUGUAGCUGGAGAUGAAAAGGAGCUUCGGGCACCCAUAUGCUGCAUCCUUGGGCACGUGGAUGCUGGAAAGACGAAGCUCCUCGAUUGCAUCCGGGGCACCAAUGUGCAGGGGCGGGAGGCCGGGGGCAUCACACAACAGAUUGGCGCCACCUACUUACCGGCUGAAAACAUCAGGGACAGGACGAGCUUAAAAGCUGAAACCGCCAUCAAAGUUCCUGGUUUGCUCGUGAUUGACACACCUGGCCAUGAGUCCUUCAGUAAAAUGCGUUCAAGGGGAUUGAGUAUGUGUGACAUCGCCGUGGUUGUCGUUGAUAUUACUAAGGGGCUUGAGAAGCAGACGGUUGAAUCCCUUCAUCUUUUGAGACGCCACAAUGUGAGCUUCAUUGUGGCCUUGAACAAGGUUGACCGGCUCUAUGGAUGGAAGGAAUGUACCAAUGCACCAAUAGUGGAGGCACUCAAGAAGCAAUCUGAUGACGUCAAAAGUGAAUACAAAUGGAGGUUAACUAAGAAGAAAAAAGUGGUUAACAUUGUCCCGACCAGUGCAGAAAGCGGUGAAGGUGUCCCAGAUCUUCUACUGCUACUGGUGCGAUGGCUCCCUGACAUAAUUACAGAUAAGCUGGCCUAUGAUGAUACAAUAGAGUGUACAGUACUAGAAGUCAAUGAACAUAAAGAUUUAGGAACUACUGUUGAUGUAGUACUGAUUAAUGGUGUGCUGCGACAAGGGGAUCAAGUAAUUGUUUGCACUAAACAGGGGCCUGUUACAACCAUUAUUAGAGAUUUGUUGACCCCUCAUCCAAUGAAAGAACUCAAAGCUAAGGGUGCAUAUAAGCAUCACAAGGAGGUCAGAGCUGCGCAGGGGGUAAAAAUUGUGGCACGGGGACUUCAAUAUGCAAUGGCUGGCACUUCUCUCAUUGUAGUGAAGCCAGGGGAUGAUUUGCGACAAGCUGAAGCAGCUGCAAUGCAAGAGAUUGAUAUGGCCAUUAGCACGACAGAUGAGACCGAAAAGGGAACAACAACUCAAGAAGUUAGUAGUAUCAUGACUUGCAAGGAGGGCAUCUAUGUGCAAGCUUCCAGUGUUGGAACCUUGGAAGCUAUCAUUGCGCACUUGAAGAGCAGUAGUGUGGACAUUCCUGUUUAUGCUUGGAACUUAGGACCCGUCUACAAGCAGGAUGUCAUGAAGGCAAGUGCCAUGCUGAAGCGGAAAGAAGAGUAUGCGGUCAUCUUGGCCUUUGACGUCAAAGUGAUGCCUGAGGCUAGUGCCCUUGCAGCUGAAUCAGGGUUGAAGAUUAUUACUGCUGAUACGGUAUAUAGGCUCGUCAACAUCUAUACUGAGCACAUUAAGGGAUUGAAGGAAGCGAAGAAAAUGCAAUUUGCAGCUGAGGCAGUUUUCCCAUGCACCCUGAAGAUUCUGCCAAACCGUGUCUACCAUAGCAAGGAUCCAAUUGUUUGCGACGUUGAAGUUGUGGAAGGUGUCGUCAAGGUGGGAACCCCGAUAUGUGUCUUCACCCCGAGCAAGGAUAAAAGCAAGAAUAUAAUAGUUCAUAGCCUCGGGAGGAUCUCCUCCAUGCAAACGUCCAAUGGCAAUCAGAUUUUCUCGGCCAGGAAUGGAGUUGUGGCCAUAAAGAUAAGCGGUGACAGUCCUCAGGAGAAAUCCCGGUCUUAUGGACGCCAUUUUGAUUCUAGCAAUGAGCUGGUCAGCGAGAUCUCGAGGAGAUCCAUUGAUGUACUCAAAGAGUGUUAUCGGGAUGAAAUGAGCGCUGAAAAUUGGCAGCAUAUCACCAGGUUGAAGCUGCAAUUCAAGAUAGCCUGA